GGUUGUCCGGAAGAAGACGUGGGGGGCAACUCACAGGUCCCUGGUGGCCUUGAACCCCCGGGAAGGUCUGAGACAAGGUCCCACUCCCACUGGGUGGAGUGGUGGGUCCGAGAAGGACCUCGUCCGUGAGAACGAGAGGCUGUAACAGAAACACACCCUGCGGGGUUUGAACGACAGCCUCGACCGGCGAAUGCCUGAGUGCGAUCGUCCAAUUAACACAAUUCAGACUAGUCUUCGGAAAACC
Non-coding RNA from Haemonchus contortus (barber pole worm), 244 nucleotides. NCBI's taxonomy places the organism in Eukaryota, Metazoa, Nematoda, Chromadorea, Rhabditida, Trichostrongylidae. The record is from Rfam.